This 458-nucleotide ribosomal RNA is filed under the name uncultured Streptococcus sp. RNAcentral describes it as "bacterial SSU rRNA". It matches the Rfam family "Bacterial small subunit ribosomal RNA", at positions 920 to 1382 of the family's 1533-position model. Lineage: Bacteria; Bacillati; Bacillota; Bacilli; Lactobacillales; Streptococcaceae. The record is from RNAcentral.
CCCGCACAAGCAGCGGAGCAUGUGGUUUAAUCGAAGCAACGCGAAGAACCUUUACCAGGUCUUGACAUCCCGAUGCUAUUUCUAGAGAUAGAAAGUUACUUCGGUACAUCGGUGACAGGUGGUGCAUGGUUGUCGUCAGCUCGUGUCGUGAGAUGUUGGGUUAAGUCCCGCAACGAGCGCAACCCCUAUUGUUAGUUGCCAUCAUUCAGUUGGGCACUCUAGCGAGACUGCCGGUAAUAACCGGAGGAAGUGGGAUGACGUCAAAUCAUCAUGCCCCUUAUGACCUGGGCUACACACGUGCUACAAUGGUUGGUACAACGAGUUGCGAGUCGGUGACGGCGAGCUAAUCUCUUAAAGCCAAUCUCAGUUCGGAUUGUAGGCUGCAACUCGCCUACAUGAAGUCGGAAUCGCUAGUAAUCGCGGAUCAGCACGCCGCGGUGAAUACGUUCCCGGGCCUU